RNAcentral lists this transfer RNA (73 nucleotides) under Caudoviricetes sp. RNAcentral describes it as "tRNA-Met". It matches the Rfam family "tRNA". From Rfam's summary of the family: Transfer RNA (tRNA) molecules are approximately 80 nucleotides in length. Lineage: Duplodnaviria; Heunggongvirae; Uroviricota; Caudoviricetes. The record is from RNAcentral.
CACGGGGUAGAGCAGUUGGUAGCUCAUCGGGCUCAUAACCCGAAGGUCGCAGGUUCAAGUCCUGCCCCCGUUA